AACGAACGCUGGCGGCAUGCCUAACACAUGCAAGUCGAACGCGUGUAGCAAUACACGAGUGGCGGACGGGUGAGUAACGCGUGGGAACCUGCCCAAUGGUAGGGAAUAGCUGCGGGAAACUGCAGCUAAUACCCUAUGCUCCCUACGGGGGAAAGAUUUAUCGCCAUUGGAGGGGCCCGCGUCGGAUUAGCUAGUUGGCGGGGUAACGGCCCACCAAGGCUACGAUCCGUAGCUGGUCNGAGAGGAUGAUCAGCCACACUGGGACUGAGAUACGGCCCAGACUCCUACGGGAGGCAGCAGUGGGGAAUAUUGGACAAUGGGGGAAACCCUGAUCCAGCAAUGCCGCGUGAGUGAAGAAGGCCUUAGGGUUGUAAAGCUCUUUCGGCGGGGACGAUGGUGACGGUACCCGCAGAAGAAGCCCCGGCUAACUUCGUGCC
Molecule: ribosomal RNA, 437 nt
Filed under: uncultured bacterium
Lineage: Bacteria
Description: bacterial SSU rRNA
Rfam family: Bacterial small subunit ribosomal RNA
Source: RNAcentral